UGAGCAACCUGCCCUUGACACUGGAAUAACAGUUGGAAACAGCUGCUAAUACCGGAUACGACCUUCGAUGGCAUCAUCUGAAGGUGGAAAGUUCCGACGGUCAAGGAUGGGCUCGCGGCCUAUCAGCUAGUUGGUGAGGUAACGGCUCACCAAGGCAACGAUGCGUAGCCGACCUGAGAGGGUGAUCGGCCACAUUGGAACUGAGACACGGUCCAGAUCCUACGGGG
This 227-nucleotide ribosomal RNA is filed under the name uncultured bacterium. RNAcentral describes it as "partial 16S ribosomal RNA". It matches the Rfam family "Bacterial small subunit ribosomal RNA", at positions 118 to 346 of the family's 1533-position model. The record is from RNAcentral.